ACGGGUGUGUAAUGCUUAGGAAUCUGCCUAAUAGUGGGGGACAACAUCUCGAAUGGGAUGCUAAUACCGCAUACGUCCUACGGGAGAAAGCAGGGAUCUUCGGACCUUGCGCUAAUAGAUGAGCCUAAGUCGGAUUAGCUAGUUGGUGGGGUAAAGGCCUACCUAGGCGACGAUCUGUAGCGGUCUGCGAGGAUGAUCCGCCACACUGGGACUGAGACACGGCCCAGACUCCUACGGGAGGCACGAGUGGGGAAUAUUGGACAAUGGGGGGAACCCUGAUCCAGCCAUGCCGCGUGUGUGAAGAAGGCCUUAUGGUUGUAAAGCACUUUAAGCGAGGAGGAGGCUACUUUCGUUAAUACCUAGAGAUAGUGGACGUUACUCGCAGUAUAAGCACCGGCUAACUCUGUGCCAGCAGCCGCGGUAAUACAGAGGGUGCGAGCGUUAAUCGGAUUUACUGGGCGUAAAGCGUGCGUAGGCGGGUUAUUAAGUCGGAUGUGAAAUCCCCGAGCUUAACUUGGGAAUUGCAAUCGAACUGGUGAGCUAGAGUAUGGGAGAGGAUGGUAGAUUUCCAGGUGUAGCGGUGAAAUGCGUAGAGAUCUGGAGGAAUAACGAUGGCGAAGGCAGCCAU
Molecule: ribosomal RNA, 628 nt
Filed under: uncultured bacterium
Lineage: Bacteria
Description: bacterial SSU rRNA
Rfam family: Bacterial small subunit ribosomal RNA
Source: RNAcentral